AUCUCUCUCUCUCUCUCUCUCUCUCUCUCUCUCUCUCUGUGUGUGUGUGUGUGUGUGUGAGAGAGAGAGAGAGAGAGAGAGAGAU
Molecule: non-coding RNA, 85 nt
Organism: Podarcis lilfordi (Lilford's wall lizard)
Lineage: Eukaryota; Metazoa; Chordata; Lepidosauria; Squamata; Lacertidae
Source: the annotation of a GenBank genome assembly